This 252-nucleotide ribosomal RNA is filed under the name uncultured bacterium. Its description in RNAcentral is "partial 16S ribosomal RNA". It matches the Rfam family "Bacterial small subunit ribosomal RNA", at positions 524 to 776 of the family's 1533-position model. The record is from RNAcentral.
UACGUAGGGGGCAAGCGUUAUCCGGAAUCAUUGGGCGUAAAGGGUACGUAGGCGGUUAUCUAAGCGGCGGGUGAAAGGCAAUGGCUCAACCAUUGUAAGCCUGUCGAACUGGGUGACUUGAGUGCAGGAGAGGAAAGCGGAAUUCCUAGUGUAGCGGUGAAAUGCGUAGAUAUUAGGAGGAACACCAGUGGCGAAGGCGGCUUUCUGGACUGUAACUGACGCUGAGGUACGAAAGCGUGGGGAGCGAACAGG